UUAUUGGCGUACUGCACGGCCACGUCCACCUCCGGCACCACUUUCUUCACCUCCGCACUUUCCCCGAACCGCUCCGCCCACGCUGCCAAGAGGGGAACCUUGUUUGCGCUAAUGAUCUCGACUCCAUACAUCGUGCGCACCGCAUCGAACCAGAACAAGAAGGAGCCGAGCACGAUGUCGAGGUACCUGAUGGAGUCGCCUCCGAAGAAAGCCUUGCCCUUGGAGCACUGGGCGAAGGCUUCCUCCAUUUGCCCGAUCGCAGCAGAAGUCUCCGUCACCUUCUCUGCCCUCUCGUCCUCCGUCUUGGCCAUCACGAUGCCAAACCACGCCGGACAUAGCUUGUCGUCGACGAAGGCGGCCCAGAAGCGAGCAGUGGCGCGCUCGUAGAGAUCGGUGGGGAGUAUGGACGGGCCGGCAAACAGCUCGUCGACGUACUGCACGAUGACGAGCGAUUCACACAGCGGCUUACCGUUGUGGAUGAGCACGGGGACCUUCUUGUGCACCGGGUUGGACUUGAGCAGGAGCUCGCUCUUGUUGAACAGGUCCUGCUCGACGUACUCGUAGCUCACGCCCUUCGUGCUCAACGCCAUGCGCACCCGGAUCACGAACGGGCUCACCAGCAGGCCGAGCAGCUUCAGAUCCUCCUUGCCUGCCAUUGUAUUCUUCUCUCAGUGUUUUCCUCCACUGACUCUUGGCUUGUGACUAAUUCUUGCUAUCUUGCUGUCUGUGUGCAGGACUUCACAGUUUGGGCGUUUAUAUAGCAGGUCGCGUGUACUUAGUCUACAUGAGAUUUUUUAUUGCAGACAUCGACGCUGAUAUUGCGGCGGCUGGCGACAGGCAAGUUGGUGGUCAUGUUCUUCUGCAGCUCACUGACGAAGCUUCAUUUUGCAAUCAGACGCUAACCAGCAGUGGACUUUUAUUUUUAUCUUCCCUAAUGAUGCUGUGAGACUGGCAGUGACAGCGGUUGGUAUUACCGUCUCUCUCUACUUUGAUUCAGUUAUGUGGAAUGAUUAUCCAUUUGAUACUUACUCCGCAAGUCCACAGAUACAAGUACUCUGAUAGGCGUGCUAAUAGGGCGGGUACAUAUGGGUUUUAUGGGGUGGGUUGCAUCAUUGUUGUAACGUCGGGUGUGUCUGAAUGUGUCAAAAUGGAUUUUAGUAUCUAAUGAUUUGGGGUGAGCUGGGUUUAUUGCAAAUGCGGGUUGGGACGGGUUGGAGGUGGUUUCUUUUUCUUUGGAUUUGUAUAGUUUAACUCAUAUGUUUAAGUUUCAGUGUUCAACUCUUGACGUGGGAUUCAUAAGUAGAUUUAGUCACACUACUUUACACAAAGUACGAGACUGUCAAAUUCAAUCCUCUCCAACAAUUUUGAUCAACUUUGCUCAAAUUGGUGUCAAAUUUUAAGUUUUAGAGGCCAUCUCUUAACGCGAGGCCUACAUAUAAGUCUAGACGCACUACUUUGCAUAAAGUAGUGGAAUAUCAAAUUGAGUUAUUUCUAACAAAUUUUAGUAACAUUUUCUAAAUUUUAAAGCGUGAAUGUAAGGUUUUAGUUCCAGGGUUUGGUUCUCAAUGUAGGCCCCACAUAGGUUUAAUUUUAGGAAAAAUUUUAUUUUUGACCUGAAAACCAGAAAUCUUUAACCACUUAGCUAUAUAAAUCGUGUACUAAUGUCCAUCGCAUCUUGUUUUGACUCUCUGAGUGGUUUUAACUACCACGUCAGAUCAACCGGCCAUGUCACCAUGCUGACUCAGAAUAGGCCCACACGUCAUGUCAUAUGCCUUAGAAAGGCAUCCACCUGUUUAGGGAUGGCAAUCGGGUGGGUUGGACCCGAGACCCGCGGGUUUCAGACCCGACGGGGUGGGGGACGGGGGCGGGUUCGGAAUGCCCCCUGCGGGUCUCGGGUUCGGGGCCCCGACACAUGGCGAGUGCGGGGGUGGAUUUAUACUCCCCUUGCGGGUGACCCACGGGCCCGAAGUAUACAAUUCAGCUAAAAAGUAGUCCAUCCCAACAACAACAACCCUAGGUAUAUAAGUGUGUCUCCCACUCUUGGACUCUCCCCGUCUUCCCUCUUCAGUCUCCAGGCCAGUCGCCGCACGCGGCAGGCUGCUCCCCCAACCCCAAAUCCCCAUUGCCGGAUGCCCCUCGCCCAGUACGCCUCCGCCGCUAGGUGCUGGCCGCCCGCGCCCGUCGCCCCCUCGCCCUGCUAGUCGCCCGUGAGCGCCGCCAGGCGCCGGCUGCCCUCGCUCCUCGCCCCCCUCACCCUGUCUCUUGCGAGCGGUGAGCGCUGUCGGCCGCCUCUCACCGCCUUCACCCGCGAGCGCCGCCUGCCAGCGCCGCCGGCCGCCCCUCGCCUCCCUCGCACGCAAGCACCGCCUGCCAGUGCCGCCGGCCGCCCCUCACCCCCUUGCCCGUGAGCGCCGCCUGCCAGCGCCGCCGGCCGCCUCUUGCCCCCCCUCGCUCGUGGUAUUGAUGUGUUGAUGUCACUAUUGCUUGGGUUUUGGGUGCCCCGUCGGGUUUCGGUCACCCGCGGGUUUUGAGGGCGGGUGGACAAUUUCACCUGAAAUGGAGUUCGGGUUCGGAGUGGGUUUCAUUCUCGGAUUUCAGGGGCGGAUCCACGGAAGCUCCACCCGACCCGACCCACCCGUUGCCAUCCCUACACCUGUUGAACUGCCCCAGCUCCGGUGGCAUCUGCUGCUGCCGCGGCGGCACCAGCACCAGCUAUCCCGCUCUUCCUCCCCAGAGCUCUCCCACCCGUCAAACUGCCCCAGCUCCGGCGGCGCGAUUCCCAUGGCUUUGCCUCACAUCCUCGCGCUCACCACCCACACACUCUAAGGCCUCGUAAGGGAACCAGAUCGGCUCCGAAUAACCUUCACCGCCCACGCCGAUGAGCGCCAACCCACCCACCACUCCCUCCAACGAACCGUUGUACCGCCACCGUUGGAAAUCCCACGAGUUCGCCCACCAUGGAAGCACCGAGAUCCAACGUCCCCGCGGAAUCGGGCCGAAUCACACCAGGCCACGAACACCAGCCACGCGAUCCCGCCGUAUCGAGAGCGCCUCUCGUGCGAGGAGCACCGUAACACCUUGGCUCUUUUCCUUACACCGAGAAGACCACCAGCACCGGCAAGGGACAGGAAAAGCCGUGGCACGGGAAAGGAAUGCUAACAGUCCAGAACAACUAUGUGCUAGAUCCGAGAAGGUGGGGUCCUCCGCUUGUGCUUGGUACCGUCGAAGACGCUCGUCGUUUCCGCUGACGGAUUCAAGUCGCACCGCCGCGUCACCCUCCAGUUCUAUUAUGAGUCACCGGAGUUGGGGCAGUUGGAUAGGUAGAUGCCUUUCUAAGGCACGUGACCUGACAUGACAUGUGGACCUAAUCUGAGUCAGCAUGGUGACAUAGCUGGUUGAUCCAACCUGGCAGUCAAAACCACUGAAAACAGGUCAAAACAGGGUGCGAUGGCCAUUUGUACACGGUUCGUAUAGUUAAGUGGUCAAAGAUUCCUGAUUUUUAAGUUCGGUGGUCGAAAUCAAACCAAGACUUGUUAUGGACUGAGCUGUAGCCCACUCUAUGGAAACCGUCUAUGAAAUUAGUUAAAGUGUUAGACAACUUCUUUUAGGUUAUAUUACUUAUUUACAGGUGAUGAGGCAACUACCUUUUAUAUAUAGACGUGUCAACAGACCAAGGAGACGGGUGGAUCCAGAGGUGGGGCAGGCGGGGCUAAGCCCUCCUACCGCCCCGGGAAUAACGGAGCCCCUUAGCCCCUCCUUAAUUUUUGUUUUAGGAAGAAGGAAGAAGAAGAGAAGACCUCCUUAAUUUUUGUUUGAGGAAAAAGGAAGAAGAAGAGAAGAGAGGGAAGGAAGGGGAAGAAGAGAGAGCCUCCUAAGCUUAUGGACUGCAUCCGCUGCAACAAGAUAAGGAUAUUAGUCUACCGUUGCUCUAUUCUCGUGGGCAACGGUUAGCCCAACAUCAACACAAACAAAUACCUAGCGCAGCUCCAAACGUAGGCCCGGCCAUCUGUUCGCUGCGCUCAGCGCUUGUAUUGGUGCUACAUAGGCAGCACUGGUAUUUCGCCAACGAAGAAAGUUUGUGGCAUCCUGUCCACAUUUUUGUUUGUCAUGCUGGAAAUAAUCAGGCGUGAGAAUGUGAGAUUGUGGCCUUUGCGCCUCCGGUUGUUCACUUUUCGCUGUCGCCGAGUCUCGGUGGGUGGAGUGUCUCUUCAGUUCGCUUUCUGCUUUCUGAACAUGCAUCCCUAAACGGUUGAACUCUAUACUUGCGAAGCUUCUAUUCCAGAACUGAAUAGGCGUUUACGCCUUUUUUAAGAAACGGGGAAGGUUGGGGCUGUUUGCUUCAGCUUAUAAGCCGGCUGAAAAGCUGAAACGGCUGAUUUGUUGUGAGAGGAAAAUACUGUUUGGUGGCUGAUAAGCCGACUGAAUAAGCUGAAGCGAACAGACUCGUUAGCCUUUACGGAAGAACAUAACAAAAACAGCAAAAAUUAACAUCAAAGCUAAACACAAUUUAUGGCACGCUAGAUCACAACAAAAACGUGACCUGAACAUUCACUUGGCAAUCCCAUCAUUUGGCUACCCACAAUGUUUAUUACACGACCCAAUCCGAACCAAUUCACUUGGCGGCAGCCGCAGCGCCAGCGAACUUAUUGACAAAUUGCAAGGCCUCGUCCGCCCCCGGCACCACUUCCUUCGCCUCCGCACUUUCCCGGAAUCGCUCCGCCCACGCGGCCAAGAGCGGAGUCUUGCUUGCGCUAAUGAUCUCGACUCCGUACAUCCUGCGCACCGCCUCGAACCAGAACAAGAAGGAGCCGAGCACAAUGUCGAGGUACCCGAUGGAGUCGCCGCCGAAGAAAGCCUUGCCCUCGUUGCACUUGGCGAACGCCUCCUCGAUUUGCGCGAUAGCGGCAAGCGUCUCAGUCACCUUCUCCGCCCUCUCGUCCUCCGUCUUGGCCUUAACGAUGCCGCCAUACCACGCCGGAAAUAGCUGCAAGCAAGACGCUGCCAAUUUGAUCGGUACCAAAGAAAUACUCCGUACUAAUAAGUUCGGAAACGCACAAGCAUCUAUACCUUGUCGUCGAUGUAGGCGGCCCAGAAGCGAGCAGUGGCGCGCGCGUAGGGAUCGGUGGGGAGGAUGGACGGGCCGGGAAACAGCUCGUCGACAUACUGCACGAUGACGAGCGACUCACACAGAGGCUUACCGUUGUGGAUGAGCACGGGUACCUUAUUGUGCACCGGGUUCGACUUGAGGAGGAGCUCGCUCUUGUUCUUCAGGUCCUCCUCGACGUACUCGUAGCUCACGCCCUUCAUGCUCAACACCAUGCGCACCCGGACCACGAACGGGCUCACCAGCAGGCCGAGCAGCUUCAGAUCCUCCUUUCCCGCCAUCGUAUUAUUCUCUCGUGUUUCCCUCUACUGGACUCUUGGCUUGUUAGUUGUGACUAAUCAUAUCUUACUCUGCCUCCGUGUAGGAUUCGCCUUACAGUUUGGCGUUUAUAUAGAAGGUCGCGUGCCGUUGUCGUACAU
RNAcentral lists this long non-coding RNA (5523 nucleotides) under Setaria viridis. Its description in RNAcentral is "long non-coding RNA (SVIR_LNC011149)". Lineage: Eukaryota; Viridiplantae; Streptophyta; Magnoliopsida; Poales; Poaceae. The record is from RNAcentral.